AAUAAGUGCAAUUUUGCACUAUUCACGUUCAAUGUUUGACCGUUCGUCUUAUUCGAAAAUUUUUUAUGAUUAGUAUUUCUAUUGCUAUUAGAUGAUAAAACAUAAAUAGUACUAUGUGUGACUAAAUAUUUUUAAAUUUUCCGCAAAUUUUUCAAAUAAGACAGACGGUCAAACGUUGGGCACGAAUAUCCACGGCUGCACUUAUU
Oryza barthii is the source of this 206-nucleotide non-coding RNA. NCBI's taxonomy places the organism in Eukaryota, Viridiplantae, Streptophyta, Magnoliopsida, Poales, Poaceae. The record is from Rfam.